CCAAUAGCGUAUAUUAAAGUUGUUGCAGUUAAAAAGCUCGUAGUUGAAUUUCGGGGUUAGUAGGUUGGUCAUGCCUCUGGUAUGUACUGGUCUCACUGAUUCCUCCUUCCUGAUGAACCGUAAUGCCAUUAAUUUGGUGUUGCGGGGAAUUUGGACUGUUACUUUGAAAAAAUUAGAGUGUUUAAAGCAAGCUAACGCUUGAAUACAUUAGCAUGGAAUAAUGAAAUAGGACGUUCGAUCCUAUUUUGUUGGUUUCUAGGAUUGACGUAAUGAUUAAUAAGGAUAGUUGGGGGCAUUAGUAUUCAAUUGUCAGAGGUGAAAUUCUUGGAUUUAUUGAAGACUAACUACUGCGAAAGCAUUUGCCAAGGAUGUUUUCAUUAAUCAAGAACGAAAGUUAGGGGAUCGAAGACGAUCAGAUACCGUCGUAGUCUUAACCAUAAACUAUGCCGACUAGGGAUCGGAUGAUGUUAAUUUUUUAAUGACUCAUUCGGCGCCUUACG
Molecule: ribosomal RNA, 500 nt
Filed under: uncultured Glomeromycotina
Lineage: Eukaryota; Fungi; Glomeromycota
Description: partial small subunit ribosomal RNA
Rfam family: Eukaryotic small subunit ribosomal RNA
Source: RNAcentral